Molecule: small nuclear RNA, 105 nt
Filed under: Meriones unguiculatus (Mongolian gerbil)
Lineage: Eukaryota; Metazoa; Chordata; Mammalia; Rodentia; Muridae
Source: RNAcentral
GUUCUCACACGUCAGCACACGCACCAAAACCGGAACAACACAGAAAGAGUAACGUGGUCUUCGCUCAAGAAUGACUUGUAAAUUCAUGAAGCAUUCCAUAUGCAU